RNAcentral lists this long non-coding RNA (3224 nucleotides) under Malus domestica (apple). Its description in RNAcentral is "long non-coding RNA (MDOM_LNC008643)". The record is from RNAcentral. Lineage: Eukaryota; Viridiplantae; Streptophyta; Magnoliopsida; Rosales; Rosaceae.
CACCUUUCGAAGGUGUUGUAAAUUGUUCUUGAAAAGUUCAAAACAGUUGGUUCUUCUACUUGAAUGCUUGAUUUCGUAUUAGUAACUAUGUUUUACAAUCAUUGUAAAAGUGUGGCUAAUAAAAGGUAGAAGAUUAAUGAGAGAAGAGAAAGUACUUCACAUUCGGAACGUGAAUCAAAUGUAGAUCUCUGCGAAAUCAGAUGGUACUUACUUCCUCAUAUGAACUACCAAAGAAAUUGGAAAAACCAAAGAUUGUCUUUACAUUCCAAUUUUAAGGAACUUAAUUCCAUCACUAUAAGGGAUGGAUGAAUGUUUUGUUUGACAAAACAUUGUUCUUUAUUAAUGAUUGAUUAGAUUAUUGUAAUCUAAUUGAUUGUCUCUAUAUUAGAGAUGAUAUGGUAGUGUUAACUGUUUAGAAUAUAAUGAUGCUUAAAACCCAAAAGGUUGCAAGGUAGUGACUAAUCCCAACUGAGUUGUGAUACCUCAAAAACAUAAAAUACGAGUUGGUCAUAGAUGGAUGCUUUGGAAGAUCCGGAUCCAAUGCCUUCUUGUUAAAAUUGUAUAGAGGCAAAAUGUUUGAAUCUUUAUUCUUUUGGAAAGGAAGAAAGAAUCACAAAGUUGUUGAGGUUAAUUCACUUAGAUGUUAGUGGCACUUGUCCACAACAUAAUACUACUCAUGUUGUAUGACAUUCACCGAAGAUCGCUCUCGGUUGGACUAUCAUUUAUUUUGAAUAAACACAAGUCCGAAUACUUUGCAAAAGGUUUCAAAGAAUUCAAGAAAUGUAAGUUGAUGAGUAAGAUGUCUAAAGUAUUUACCUCUUUAGAUUUGAUCCAAGGGAAGGUAACACUUUAGAACAGUUUCCUUGAAAGAUAUCAAGGAAAGAAGCAUCAUAUGAUAAUGGAUUUCUCCAUUAAGAGAAGAACGAACUCGAAUAAGAUUUAGUUCGUUGGAUGUUAUCAAUUACCCAUAUAUAGGAUAUAUACUUCUAAAACAAUAUGAUUGUCAAUUAGAAGAUCUACCAAAAUUUUCAUGACUCCAUAGGAUAUAGUUGGAAAGAAAGACAAAUCUUAAUCAUGUUAAGAUUUGGGGUUGUGUGCUAAUAAGCAAUAUUUGUUUAAAAAUUAUCUUGUGGGUAUCCUUAAAUUAACAUUUGGAUAUCACUUCUAUAAACCAACUAACAAAUGUUGUUUGUUGGGUAGUUCAUUGUAAUCCUACACUAGGAUUUGCCUAAGAUAGAGCAAAUGAAUGAGGGAUAGAACUCAAAGAAUGGGUUCUUUGAGAAACAAGAUAGUGAUCAACAAAUAUAACAACCUAGUUCCUAUACCACAAGCUCCAAGGUAGUCGAGAAGGAUUUAUAAACCGUCUCAGUUGAAUGGUUUAAACUUUAUGACUAUGUCAUAGAGUUGCACCUUUUAAUUCGAAAGAAAGAAGAAUGAAAAUCCUUAUGACUACAUUGAGUGUAUAUACGAUAUAUACUCAAGGAAAUGGUAAAGUACCAUUUGACCCGAAAUAAUGAAACCUCCAUAGCUAAUUGGUAGCUUAAGGUGACUACAAUUAAAGAGAUUGGUUGACUUGGAAGAAACCAUCUUUGACGUAGUCUUGGUUUCAAUUAAUUCGAAGAUUGCUAGCUACAACUAAAUGGUGAUUCAAUGUUCGGACAUAAUAUGGGUUUCCGAAACCAUUAUUAAGAUAGUCCUGAUAAUAUAUGUCUAAAACUAUGAAUCACAAGACAUGUAAUUUGUAGAGAUCCAACCAUCAUGGAUCUUAGCAAGCUAGUGGGAGUUAUAAGCGUCUUAUGAGAGAAAGAUCAAAUCAAUUGAUUUCUCAUAAAGAUGUAAAUUAAUCUUUUGUUUACUAAGUUUACAAAAGAUUAGUGGGAGUUAAUCAUAUUCCUAAAAUUGAAUAUAUAUAGUAUAUUAAUUUUGGAAAUGAAAAGAAUACUUCUUCGUUAAUGAUAGAAUGUAUAAGGGAGACAUAGUCUAUAAACAUGGGAUGUAAAUCUAUAAUGAUAGAUUUCAGGAUAUAAUUGGAUUAUAUCAAGCCCUAAUGAUAGACAAAAGAUGCUAGAAAGUUUCUCAUAUGAUGAUAAACUUCAAUCAGAAGAACAACUCCAGUAAGACUAGGAGGUAGCUCUUCUCAAAGGGAACAUACGCUUUGACUCCCAAAGAAAUAAUGCGUAUAUAGAAUCCUUUAUGCAUACGCAGAAAAAUGAUUUACGUAGUUCAUAUUAUAUGAAAACAUUGAUAUGAGUUGUACCUAGAACGGUACAACACGAUAUCAGUGCAAGCCCAGGAUCAGAACCAUGGUAAUUGUCAAGUGAGUCCUUAAGUAUUUAAGAAAUACUAAAGGAUAGAUUCCUCAAACAAUGAGGAAUAAUUAGAGUAACGAAAUGGAAGCGUAAAUGUAUUAGAUUAUGAAUCUAAUCCAUCAUUGGAUGUUUCUUCAUUUUGAAUGAAGAGAUAAUCAGAUAUCUCUUUAUUAUGACUAAAGGGAUAUUUGGAUGGAAACAUUAAAAGUAAUGACUUUAGUGUGUUCCAUUGUGAAUGCAAAAUAUAUUGCCAUAUAGAAGCUUACAACAAUGUUGUUUGGAUGGGAAAGUUCAUUUAUGAACUCUCUAUUCGGUUCCAACCAGAAAGUGUCUCUAGUGUACCGACACUACGACACUAAUGGGGCGAUAGCUCAAGCCAGGGAAUCAAGGUCUCAUCACGAUCCGAACUCAAAUGAGAGACUGAACCACAUGAUUGAAAAUCAUGUAUAAUGGUGACGUCGUUAUUCUCAAGUUUGCUUCUAUGGAUAACAUAUAGAUAUCCAUUGUCUAGGCCUACUACUCAGCCAUUUUUGAAAUGACUACAGAAGAGGUAUCAUCACUAAUGACCAAGCUGAUUGGCUCUAGUGCAAGUGGGAGAUUGUUGGAAAUGUGCCCUAAAACCAAUCAUAUGAUGAUACUUUACGGACAUUUCACAUGUUAAACUAAUCUAGUUUAAUAUCAAGGGCAUAGAUUAUUGUUUUAAGCCGUCUCAUAUAAAUGUUAUAUGCUUAAACAAUAAGUCCAAGGAAUAUGUAAUUAGGAGAAUGUAAUUUAAACAAGUUAGAUUUAUGAGACCACUCUCUUUCGUAUACAUAUCCUAAACGUUCCUGAUCAUAGGAUUGCCAAUUGGGCAUUGACAAUCCGUUAAGAUCAGUAUGUGCUAUGUCUUCUCUUAGUGAGAGUGACUGGUCUCGA